This 253-nucleotide ribosomal RNA is filed under the name uncultured bacterium. Its description in RNAcentral is "partial 16S ribosomal RNA". It matches the Rfam family "Bacterial small subunit ribosomal RNA", at positions 524 to 776 of the family's 1533-position model. The record is from RNAcentral.
UACGUAGGGUGCAAGCGUUAAUCGGAAUUACUGGGCGUAUAGCGUGCGCAGGCGGUUUUGUAAGGCUGACGUGAAAUCCCCGGGCUCAACCUGGGAAUUGCGUUGGAGACUGCAAGGCUAGAAUCUGGCAGAGGGGGGUAGAAUUCCACGUGUAGCAGUGAAAUGCGUAGAGAUGUGGAGGAACACCGAUGGCGAAGGCAGCCCCCUGGGUCAAGAUUGACGCUCAUGCACGAAAGCGUGGGGAGCAAACAGG